GGGCAGGCGGGAGCCGGCGAGGCGCGGCCCGAGCGGGGCCCGCGUGUGUCCGACCCGGGCGCCCCGGGCCACAGCAGGCUGUGCCGGAGCCAGCAGGCCUAGGAGCCCGGUGUAUCCUGAGGUGUCACUUUAAACAGGAAGAUCCUGGCUGGGGGCACGAAGAAGAUACAGAAGCUUGUACAGAAUCCUUGUACAGUCCCUCUGAGGAACAUGGAGAGCAAGAAGCAAAACCACUUCUGUUUCUUCCAGGAUGACUCAUCUCUGACCACAAGCCUCGCAUUUUUGUUUGUUCUGCUGCUGCCAGGUGUUGGUUGCCCGUUCUCCAGACUCCUUCAGGCACCACUGCUGGGGAGACUUGCUAGUCCCAGCCAGCACAAAUGAGCCUCAAGAAGUGCCUUUCCUUAAACCAACAUCCCCUUUCAUCUCCACUUUUCUCUUUCUUUUUUUGCCACCACUCCUCCUUGCUCAGCUCUUUUGCCUUCAAAACAAAUAGGUUGAGGUGACAGGUACAGAAAGAGCACAUUUCUUUGCCUUCUUUGCCACUUACUGCUCUCCCCGCCCAUUCUUCCUCCCUUGCUUGACUUUGUAAGAUUAUUUGAACUGCUCCCACAGGAGUGACUACACUUUAUAUAAUCAGUCUUGAAUUGGCUGGGUUAUUCCAAAUUGUUUACCAGCCAGAAAUAAAAAUAGCAAAGGAAGGUAACUAUUUUUGUGAUACUAAGUGACUUCUAUGCUUGUGCAGUUUUAAUGGUGCUAUCAAUAGCUGGGUUAAAGCCCAGCUAAGAGACAUUGCUAGAGCAGUCUUGCUGUGCACAACAGAUUAUAUUGCUUUCCUAACAUGAUAUACAGUGCUUGCUGUCACAGGAUUCCAGUCCCCACUCAGGACAUACUGUGCCACAACUGUUUCAAGUGUGCAAAGAAUCACACUGGAGAACAGCUGCGUUGGUAGCAGACAUGAGAGGAACAAAAAGCUUUGUCUUGGAAAGAGCACCAGAGAUUGUGUGUGCAUCACUGACAACUGUACACAUACAGAAUUCUUCAUGGGGGACAAGUAGCCCUUCAUGUGGUUUAUGAGUGUACUGGCCUACAUGAUGCUGGGAAAGGCAUGGUUAAACAGUUAGACUUUAAGGAAUAAGAGCAACAAAAAAGGAUAAUAUGCAAGAAGCAUUAGACAGAAGAGAUCUAAAGGGAUUUUUCAGCAUUAGGGCAACUAGCGGCAAAAUGACAAAUUAGGCAUGUAUUUGCCGUUGGUUGCACUGUCCUUUAAUUAUUAUGUGCUUAAUUAAAAGUUCUUUUAAAGCUAUUAUUCUGAAACACGUGAUUACUCUGAAACCUGUUUCUUGACCUCAGAAAUAAACCUGGGCAAACAGAAGUCUGUCACUAGUAUUACUACGUCAGUUGGAGAUAGGCUUUUAAAGUCAAUUAAACAUCCUGAAAUAAUCAUGCUGAUAGAAGCUGCAGCUUUCCACAAAACCACACCUACACCACAAACUUUUGCCCCCAUAGCUGUAACAGCUGGAGAUAUUGUUUAUGGCCAGCAUAUUUUUGUUGCUUAGGUGUCUUGUGUGAGCAGUUAUAACAGGAAAUACACAUUUUCCCAUGUAUGGCAUCAGGGAGCGGCGUGGCCCAGGGUUGGGAUCACAUGGAGAGCCCCAGGAGACAUGCCAAGCAGAGGCUUCCCCAGCCAGGGUCCAUUCCACUGCCUUCAGUGAGGGAGCUGGCAGGAUGGGAGGAAGCCAGCCACAAUCCUCAGCUCAGGGCAUCGGGCAGCCCCAUGGGGAUGGGCUGAGGCCAGGCUGGGAUGUGUGCUUGCUGGCAUGGGUCAUAAGUAGGCUUGGUGAGGGGAACUAGGGUCAGAUUCAGCCCUGUGAUUGCCAGGCCCAUGUGUUACUGAAGCUCUGAAAACUGAAAUAAGGCUCCUUAGCACCAUUUUUUUCUGUGUUAAAGAGGGUAUCAUUUAUUUAAGUGCCCGGAAGGAAUGAGGGAUCACUCCUCCUAACAUCCCCCUGAUUGUUACAAGUGAGUUGCUUAUAUACAGCCACUACAUGCAUAUUAUGAUUUGCCUAUUACCAUAAAAAUUGUCCCCAUGUCCCCCAAGUUUCCAAAGCCAGUCUUUGUUUUGGCUGCAGCUGUAUUCCUCAACCAGAUGACUCCUCUUUAUCUGCUAACGUCCUUGCAUGGGGAAUAAUUUCUGCCUGCCUUGCUUCUCUGCUAAAGGUCUGUAGACAGUGUCUUCUCUGCUGAAAGUUCACAGUCACAGUGUCUUUCUACUAAAAGCUCACAGUUACAGUAGAAAUUGAAUUAACCCUUUUAGUAUCACAUGGGCUGAACGUGCCCCAGGUGAGGUUGGUCAGGACUCUUGAGGAUGGUGGGUGACCCCAGGCCCUGAUGUAUGGUGUAGCUUUUUCUCAGGGGAGAGGGAGUCAUGUUUGUUCCCCACUUCCAGUUGUGCUGGUGUCAGGCGCAUGUUGCCACUGCAAUAGAUGUAGUGCCUUCACUUCAGAGCUGAGUCUGCCUCGCACCAGGUGCAGGUCUGUGAUAAGAUGCAGCAAUAUCUGAUGCAGGCUUGGCACUGUACUCUCAGGAGCCAGGAGAUGCUGACUGCACAGGAGAGUGAGAGCUGUUGGUGGAGUAGCUCUCUCAAGCUCAACAUGACCCAAGGCCUGCGACAUGCACUGCAAUUCUCUUUCCUGGGUGUGUUAUGAAGGGUGUUCUUCCCCUCAAAGUGAGGUUUUCCCAUCAUUGAAAAAGAAGCAGAGACAAAAAGAAACACCGCUAGCGCUAUGCCAAGACCAUCAAUUCAACGCAAUGGAUGUACCUGCAUCAUGAGCUCUGAUUUACAGGUACAUGUGGUGAGUGACAAGGAAUUUGAGGGAUCUAUUACUCAGUCUCCCAUGCAAAAGAAACAUUUCCCCUUGGAAAUGUGCCCACAUGGAUACCUUUACUCUACAGUCACAACGGAAGGGAUUUAUGAGCUAUAUAUAAAUGGCUUUAUCCAUCAUUUUCUGCUGCCUUACUUUUUUGAGGAGGUUUUAUGAGCACCUCCUCCCAGUGGUUGUUAUCAUUUAUGAGCUCCCCUUAUCAACCAGUACCCCUAACCCGUUACUGCUUACAUACAGUACUGCCUCCCCGACUAGGUCCACCCCUUCCAGUUUCUGCUGCUUCUCCUCUCAUACAGAUCAGGAAACAAAAUAAUUUGCAGACUCAGUAAUUUACUGGCAAUACAUGUGACAUGCUGCAUGAGAAGGAAACGCCCUGCUGCACACCAGAGAGAGGCUUGCAAGCUGCCAAGUUUCAUUUUCACAGCUGAGUUAUUAAAAGAAAAAAAAAAAGAAAAAAGUUUAGCUUUCUGUCUCAUGACUGUUUUGAUAAGCACACCCAUAGCAUGCCAACAGAUGUAGUAAAGACUGUUGUGUCAGUGUUUAGGUCAGAGUCCCUUCUGAGUCAAAACGCAAUGAGUUCCACUUUCUGCAUUGGUAUUAAAGUGUGUUGGUCCUUUGUUUCCAGAUGCUGCACUGAAACAUCCCUAAAUAACAAUGAUGGGCAGUUUGGACGUGUAAGAGACUGGAAAGAUUGAUGUCUCGAGACCCUUUGGGGUGCAUGUGUAUGGGGGAAGGGGCAAUUCAGGCCUUGUCCUGGCGAGGUGGUACACUACCCUGUACACUCCUCCUGUCCUAGAGCCUGUAUCCCAGCCUGGGAGGGCUGCCAGUCCCUGACACACCAGAGGCAAUGCUCCACACCCACCUCUGGAGCCCUUAAUCCAGCUCCUGAGUGGCCAAAUGACCGUAAGUCCCACUUGGGGGAAUGGCCCAGGAAGGCCAAGGUCUAUUGAAGGCUCUACAUGAGGCAAGCAUAUGUUUUGACCCUAUCUUCUCUUGGAACUUCUACCUGAACACUGCUGGAACCCAGUAGUGGAUAGCUAUAUGUGUUCUUUUCUAUAUCUUUUCUGUCUUUCUCUCUUUCUCCUUCUUCUAAUUUCCUCUUCUUGAAAUUUUUGAGUAACUUAAAACUGAAUGGGCUUAGAGUUUGCCAAGUUGAAUGGACCAAGUUAAUGCUUUGGGAAGUGUUUCACAUUGAUUGAAUGUUGCUCUAAACAUAUUUCUAAAGUUCCCUGAUUUU
Long non-coding RNA from Hirundo rustica (Barn swallow), 4119 nucleotides. RefSeq lists it as uncharacterized. The transcript has 3 exons. NCBI's taxonomy places the organism in Eukaryota, Metazoa, Chordata, Aves, Passeriformes, Hirundinidae. The record is from RefSeq and is a predicted model, not a curated record.